AUAUGAGGGAAUAGCUUGUGCCACAGAUUUUAGUAGAACCAAUUUUCCUGCCUUAGACAUCAAAUUUUCUUUCCACCCUCACUACUACACUCAUUGCCUUUAAGGACAGCCGACACAUUUUCAUUGAGGUGUCGUAAUACCCUUACGAGGACGACCUUAAAAAAAACCGGGAGCUGGCCCGCAUUUUUUUCUGUCAAAAAUUGAACUUUCUCUUGCUGCAUCUGUACCUCGUCAAAUGAACCGAACCAAAUUAGAGCUCAGAUUCUUUAGCUCUGGGUAAAUCAAAUUCACUCACCGCGGAUGGAUUUAGGGAUUAUCUUGUCGAACCCGAUUCAACGGACGAGCUGGUGUCGGCCUCGUCCAAGCAAAGCACUUGAUCGAAGCAGCAAUAUCACCAUAUUCCCCUCCACCUCCGUCGCUCAAUCUGAUGAAUAUGAUUGCAGGUUCUCAAAAUAUGGGGGGAGAGGUGGUAAAGAUUGACAUUCAAGAUUGUGGUUUCAUAUCAUAGUUCCUUUGAUGGGUGGCAAAAGCAAUAGGAUCUCUACACUGUCCAAAGUGUUGUUGAACAAUCUCUGGGGAAAUUUGUUGAUGAGAAUAAAGCCUAGAUGUUGAAGACAAAGGAUUACCUUUGGAAAGGGCUGCUACUGUACGGAUAAAGGAGUGACAACCCUUAAUCAAGUUUGUUCUUUCUGUAGUUUCAGACCUUACAAGCUAAGGGCUGUUGAUGCGCUUCGUCAGGCACUUAACUUAUACCAGGAGCUUCUUCCUCCCAAGCACGAUGAUUAUCAUAUGAUGCUGAGGUCUAUUCCUCUUCUUUUUCCCCAAGUAGUUUGUUUAUUAUCGGAGUGGAUUGGAUUUUAUGUUGUGGUGGUGCAGGAACAAAGUGGAUGUUAGAGAACUUGCAAUUCAAUUUGGGUGUGUUCAGAUCAUUCUCUUUGUUCCAAAGGGUUUAUUCCUAUUCGACCAUUUUUUAGUGGCACUUAAGGGUUGGUGUAAAUGUUGAUUCACACCUUCAGACAUUUCCUCCAUCUAAGGACUGAGGCACAAGGGAAGAUCUCUAGUGGUGCUCACCCUCCUCAUGAAGCAGAUGGUAGCUGAUCAGUUCUAUGACAUUCUACAUAAGCACUGCAGAAAAGUAGAAGUUAAACUUGUAAAAUGCAUUGUUCAAAGUAUGAUUGUAGAUAUAUCCUUCAAUCAGUUAGGAGGACUUUGUACACUACGCUUUCUUGAACAGGUUGAUCACUAUAUUGGCAAAGAUCAUAUUUUCAAACGCAGCAUUAUUCUGAUAAAAGUGUUGUGCUACUAUGAGAGUCGUAUUCUUGGUGCUCAUCAUGGUUUAUUUUCAACAUAUGUGCUUUGGAAACAUUAGUCCUAUAUAUAUUCCAUCUUUUUCAUUCUUCUCUAGAUGGGCCUUUAACGGUCCUCUACAGAUUUUUGGAUUACUUCAGCAAAUUUGAUUGGGAGAAAUAUUCUGUAAGUUUAAAUGGACCAGUUUGCAAAUCUUCCCUACCUGAUAUUGUGGUUAAGAGAUAUCUCUUGUGCCUGUAAUGUUGGAUGGCUGUUUUGUAUUGUCCUGGUCUCUGAGUUUCUUCUCUCUCUGAAGCUGAAGUACCAGAUAAUGGAGGGGAUGAUGUACUGCGAAGUGAAGAGUUUAUUAGAAACUGUGUAGACAUGUUCUCUACUCCAACAAUUAAUGAUAUUGAUGAAUCUGAUGAUGAAAGGUUGUGAUUGAAGAUUUUGGGAAUCAGAUUAAGCAACUAUAAACCUACAAGCUGCAGUAGAUUGAAUUACUUGACUAGAAUUGUUGAAUUGUAAUUUGUUACACUUUAGAAUUUUUUUUUGUAGAUGUAUGGAUAUGAUAUUCUGGUUAAGUUAAUAAUGCAUUUGGUGGUGUAUUUUGAGCUG
Rosa rugosa (rugosa rose) is the source of this 1905-nucleotide RNA transcript. RefSeq lists it as uncharacterized. The transcript is spliced from 11 exons. Lineage: Eukaryota; Viridiplantae; Streptophyta; Magnoliopsida; Rosales; Rosaceae. The record is from RefSeq and is a predicted model, not a curated record.